UACGGAGGGUGCAAGCGUUAUCCGGAUUCACUGGGUUUAAAGGGUGCGUAGGCGGGCAGGUAAGUCAGUGGUGAAAUCCCCGAGCUCAACUUGGGAACUGCCGUUGAUACUAUCUAUCUUGAAUGUUGUGGAGGUGAGCGGAAUAUGUCAUGUAGCGGUGAAAUGCUUAGAUAUGACAUAGAACACCAAUUGCGAAGGCAGCUCGCUACACAAUUAUUGACGCUGAGGCACGAAAGCGUGGGGAUCAAACAGG
RNAcentral lists this ribosomal RNA (253 nucleotides) under uncultured bacterium. RNAcentral describes it as "partial 16S ribosomal RNA". It matches the Rfam family "Bacterial small subunit ribosomal RNA", at positions 524 to 776 of the family's 1533-position model. The record is from RNAcentral.